Molecule: ribosomal RNA, 408 nt
Filed under: Roseibium denhamense
Lineage: Bacteria; Pseudomonadati; Pseudomonadota; Alphaproteobacteria; Hyphomicrobiales; Stappiaceae
Description: bacterial SSU rRNA
Rfam family: Bacterial small subunit ribosomal RNA
Source: RNAcentral
AUGGGCGCAGCCUGAUCAGCCAUGCCGCGUGAGUGAUGAAGGCCCUAGGGUUGUAAAGCUCUUUCAGCGAGGAGGAUAAUGACGUUACUCGCAGAAGAAGCCCCGGCUAACUUCGUGCCAGCAGCCGCGGUAAUACGAAGGGGGCUAGCGUUGUUCGGAAUCACUGGGCGUAAAGCGCACGUAGGCGGACUGAUCAGUCAGGGGUGAAAUCCCGGGGCUCAACCCCGGAACUGCCUUUGAUACUGUCAGUCUUGAGUCCGAGAGAGGUGAGUGGAACUCCGAGUGUAGAGGUGAAAUUCGUAGAUAUUCGGAAGAACACCAGUGGCGAAGGCGGCUCACUGGCUCGGUACUGACGCUGAGGUGCGAAAGCGUGGGGAGCAAACAGGAUUAGAUACCCCAGUAGUCCAA